Molecule: ribosomal RNA, 404 nt
Filed under: uncultured microorganism
Description: bacterial SSU rRNA
Rfam family: Archaeal small subunit ribosomal RNA
Source: RNAcentral
GCGCAGCAGGCGCGAAACCUCCGCAAUACACGAAAGUGUGACGGGGCCAUCCCGAGUGCCGUCCGCUGAGGACGGCUUUUCCCCAGUGUACAUAGCUGGGGGAAUAAGGAGAGGGCAAGCCUGGUGUCAGCCGCCGCGGUAAUACCAGCUCUCCGAGUGGUGGGGACGCUUAUUGGGCCUAAAGCAUCCGUAGCCGGCUGGGCAAGUCCUCCGUUAAAUCCAACGAUUCAAUCGUUGGGCUGCGGGGGAUACUGGUCCAGCUUGGGGGCGGGGGAGGCCGACGGUAUUCCCGGGGUAGGGGUGAAAUCCUAUAAUCCCGGGAGGACCACCAGUGGCGAAGGCUGUCGGCUAGAACGCGCCCGACGGUGAGGGAUGAAAGCUGGGGGAGCGAACCGGAUUAGAUA